This 613-nucleotide ribosomal RNA is filed under the name uncultured bacterium. Its description in RNAcentral is "bacterial SSU rRNA". It matches the Rfam family "Bacterial small subunit ribosomal RNA", at positions 30 to 642 of the family's 1533-position model. The record is from RNAcentral.
UGAACGCUGGCGGCAGCCUAACAAUGCAAGUCGAACGGUAACAUUUCUAGCUUGCUAGAAGAUGGCGAGUGGCGGACGGGUGAGUAAUGCUUGGGAACUUGCCUUUGCGAGGGGGAUAACAGUUGGAAACGACUGCUAAUACCGCAUAAUGUCUUCGGACCAAACGGGGCUUCGGCUCCGGCGCAAAGAGAGGCCCAAGUGAGAUUAGCUAGUUGGUAAGGUAACGGCUUACCAAGGCGACGAUCUCUAGCUGUCCUGAGAGGAAGAUCAGCCACACUGGGACUGAGACACGGCCCAGACUCCUACGGGAGGCAGCAGUGGGGAAUAUUGCACAAUGGGGGAAACCCUGAUGCAGCCAUGCCGCGUGUGUGAAGAAGGCCUUCGGGUUGUAAAGCACUUUCAGUUGUGAGGAAAAGUUAGUGGUUAAUACCUGCUAGCCGUGACGUUAACAACAGAAGAAGCACCGGCUAACUCCGUGCCAGCAGCCGCGGUAAUACGGAGGGUGCGAGCGUUAAUCGGAAUUACUGGGCGUAAAGCGCACGCAGGCGGUUUGUUAAGCUAGAUGUGAAAGCCCCGGGCUCAACCUGNGAUGGUCAUUUAGAACUGGCAGACU